Molecule: ribosomal RNA, 2866 nt
Filed under: Escherichia coli
Lineage: Bacteria; Pseudomonadati; Pseudomonadota; Gammaproteobacteria; Enterobacterales; Enterobacteriaceae
Description: bacterial LSU rRNA
Rfam family: Bacterial large subunit ribosomal RNA
Source: RNAcentral
GGGUUGUGAGGUUAAGCGACUAAGCGUACACGGUGGAUGCCCUGGCAGUCAGAGGCGAUGAAGGACGUGCUAAUCUGCGAUAAGCGUCGGUAAGGUGAUAUGAACCGUUAUAACCGGCGAUUUCCGAAUGGGGAAACCCAGUGUGAUUCGUCACACUAUCAUUAACUGAAUCCAUAGGUUAAUGAGGCGAACCGGGGGAACUGAAACAUCUAAGUACCCCGAGGAAAAGAAAUCAACCGAGAUUCCCCCAGUAGCGGCGAGCGAACGGGGAGCAGCCCAGAGCCUGAAUCAGUGUGUGUGUUAGUGGAAGCGUCUGGAAAGGCGCGCGAUACAGGGUGACAGCCCCGUACACAAAAAUACACAUACUGUGAGCUCGAUGAGUAGGGCGGGACACGUGGUAUCCUGUCUGAAUAUGGGGGGACCAUCCUCCAAGGCUAAAUACUCCUGACUGACCGAUAGUGAACCAGUACCGUGAGGGAAAGGCGAAAAGAACCCCGGCGAGGGGAGUGAAAAAGAACCUGAAACCGUGUACGUACAAGCAGUGGGAGCACGCUUAGGCGUGUGACUGCGUACCUUUUGUAUAAUGGGUCAGCGACUUAUAUUCUGUAGCAAGGUUAACCGAAUAGGGGAGCCGAAGGGAAACCGAGUCUUAACUGGGCGUUAAGUUGCAGGGUAUAGACCCGAAACCCGGUGAUCUAGCCAUGGGCAGGUUGAAGGUUGGGUAACACUAACUGGAGGACCGAACCGACUAAUGUUGAAAAAUUAGCGGAUGACUUGUGGCUGGGGGUGAAAGGCCAAUCAAACCGGGAGAUAGCUGGUUCUCCCCGAAAGCUAUUUAGGUAGCGCCUCGUGAAUUCAUCUCCGGGGGUAGAGCACUGUUUCGGCAAGGGGGUCAUCCCGACUUACCAACCCGAUGCAAACUGCGAAUACCGGAGAAUGUUAUCACGGGAGACACACGGCGGGUGCUAACGUCCGUCGUGAAGAGGGAAACAACCCAGACCGCCAGCUAAGGUCCCAAAGUCAUGGUUAAGUGGGAAACGAUGUGGGAAGGCCCAGACAGCCAGGAUGUUGGCUUAGAAGCAGCCAUCAUUUAAAGAAAGCGUAAUAGCUCACUGGUCGAGUCGGCCUGCGCGGAAGAUGUAACGGGGCUAAACCAUGCACCGAAGCUGCGGCAGCGACGCUUAUGCGUUGUUGGGUAGGGGAGCGUUCUGUAAGCCUGCGAAGGUGUGCUGUGAGGCAUGCUGGAGGUAUCAGAAGUGCGAAUGCUGACAUAAGUAACGAUAAAGCGGGUGAAAAGCCCGCUCGCCGGAAGACCAAGGGUUCCUGUCCAACGUUAAUCGGGGCAGGGUGAGUCGACCCCUAAGGCGAGGCCGAAAGGCGUAGUCGAUGGGAAACAGGUUAAUAUUCCUGUACUUGGUGUUACUGCGAAGGGGGGACGGAGAAGGCUAUGUUGGCCGGGCGACGGUUGUCCCGGUUUAAGCGUGUAGGCUGGUUUUCCAGGCAAAUCCGGAAAAUCAAGGCUGAGGCGUGAUGACGAGGCACUACGGUGCUGAAGCAACAAAUGCCAUGCUUCCAGGAAAAGCCUCUAAGCAUCAGGUAACAUCAAAUCGUACCCCAAACCGACACAGGUGGUCAGGUAGAGAAUACCAAGGCGCUUGAGAGAACUCGGGUGAAGGAACUAGGCAAAAUGGUGCCGUAACUUCGGGAGAAGGCACGCUGAUAUGUAGGUGAAGCGACUUGCUCGUGGAGCUGAAAUCAGUCGAAGAUACCAGCUGGCUGCAACUGUUUAUUAAAAACACAGCACUGUGCAAACACGAAAGUGGACGUAUACGGUGUGACGCCUGCCCGGUGCCGGAAGGUUAAUUGAUGGGGUCAGCGCAAGCGAAGCUCUUGAUCGAAGCCCCGGUAAACGGCGGCCGUAACUAUAACGGUCCUAAGGUAGCGAAAUUCCUUGUCGGGUAAGUUCCGACCUGCACGAAUGGCGUAAUGAUGGCCAGGCUGUCUCCACCCGAGACUCAGUGAAAUUGAACUCGCUGUGAAGAUGCAGUGUACCCGCGGCAAGACGGAAAGACCCCGUGAACCUUUACUAUAGCUUGACACUGAACAUUGAGCCUUGAUGUGUAGGAUAGGUGGGAGGCUUUGAAGUGUGGACGCCAGUCUGCAUGGAGCCGACCUUGAAAUACCACCCUUUAAUGUUUGAUGUUCUAACGUUGACCCGUAAUCCGGGUUGCGGACAGUGUCUGGUGGGUAGUUUGACUGGGGCGGUCUCCUCCUAAAGAGUAACGGAGGAGCACGAAGGUUGGCUAAUCCUGGUCGGACAUCAGGAGGUUAGUGCAAUGGCAUAAGCCAGCUUGACUGCGAGCGUGACGGCGCGAGCAGGUGCGAAAGCAGGUCAUAGUGAUCCGGUGGUUCUGAAUGGAAGGGCCAUCGCUCAACGGAUAAAAGGUACUCCGGGGAUAACAGGCUGAUACCGCCCAAGAGUUCAUAUCGACGGCGGUGUUUGGCACCUCGAUGUCGGCUCAUCACAUCCUGGGGCUGAAGUAGGUCCCAAGGGUAUGGCUGUUCGCCAUUUAAAGUGGUACGCGAGCUGGGUUUAGAACGUCGUGAGACAGUUCGGUCCCUAUCUGCCGUGGGCGCUGGAGAACUGAGGGGGGCUGCUCCUAGUACGAGAGGACCGGAGUGGACGCAUCACUGGUGUUCGGGUUGUCAUGCCAAUGGCACUGCCCGGUAGCUAAAUGCGGAAGAGAUAAGUGCUGAAAGCAUCUAAGCACGAAACUUGCCCCGAGAUGAGUUCUCCCUGACUCCUUGAGAGUCCUGAAGGAACGUUGAAGACGACGACGUUGAUAGGCCGGGUGUGUAAGCGCAG